Molecule: ribosomal RNA, 2439 nt
Filed under: Triticum aestivum (bread wheat)
Lineage: Eukaryota; Viridiplantae; Streptophyta; Magnoliopsida; Poales; Poaceae
Description: partial small subunit ribosomal RNA
Source: RNAcentral
AUGGCUCAGAUCUUGCUCCAUGGGAACCUCCACGUCACCAUCUUCGAGGCCUCGUCGCUCUCCCACCCCGGCCGCGCCAGCGGCGGCGCCCCCAAGUUCAUCCGCAAGUUUGUGGAGGGGAUUGAAGAAACCGUCGGUGUUGGCAAAGGAAGCUCCAAGCUAUAUGCAACCAUUGAUCUUGAGAAAGCUCGUGUUGGGCGUACCAGGAUGUUGGGCAACGAGCCGGUCAACCCUCGCUGGUACGAGUCGUUCCACAUCUACUGUGCGCACCUUGCCGCCGAUGUGAUCUUCACGAUGAAGGCCGACAACGCGAUCGGGGCGACGCUCAUUGGAAGGGCGUACCUGCCUGUCGGAGAGCUCCUGGGAGGAGAGGAGAUCGACAGGUGGCUUGAAAUCUGUGAUGACAACCGGGAGCCUGUUGGUGAGAGCAAGAUCCAUGUGAAGCUUCAGUACUUUGGCGUUGACAAGGACCGCAACUGGGCGAGGGGUGUCCGGAGUGUCAAGUUUCCUGGUGUUCCUUACACCUUCUUUUCGCAGAGGCAAGGAUGCAAUGUUAGAUUGUACCAAGAUGCUCAUGUCCCAGACAACUUUAUCCCCAAGAUUCCGCUUGCGGAUGGCAAGAACUAUGAGCCUGCCAGAUGUUGGGAGGAUAUCUUUGAUGCCAUAAGCAAUGCUCAGCAUUUGAUUUACAUCACCGGCUGGUCUGUGCACACUGAGAUCACCUUGAUUAGGGACACCAAUCGCCCCAAACCUGGAGGAGAUGUCACUCUCGGAGAGUUACUCAAGAGGAAGGCCAGCGAAGGUGUCCGGGUCCUUAUGCUAGUGUGGGAUGAUAGAACUUCAGUUGGCUUGCUGAAGAGAGAUGGCUUGAUGGCCACCCAUGAUGAGGAGACUGCAAAUUACUUCCAAGGCACGGAUGUGCACUGUGUUCUGUGCCCUCGUAACCCCGAUGAUUCAGGCAGCAUUGUUCAGGAUCUGCAGAUCUCAACCAUGUUCACUCACCAUCAGAAGAUAGUAUGUGUUGACGAUGCGUUGCCAAGCCAGGGCUCCGAGCAAAGGAGGAUACUCAGCUUCGUUGGUGGCAUUGACCUCUGCGACGGAAGAUAUGACACUCAGUACCACUCCUUGUUUAGGACACUUGACACUGUCCACCAUGAUGACUUCCACCAGCCUAACUUUGCGACUGCAUCCAUCACCAAAGGUGGCCCAAGAGAGCCAUGGCAUGAUAUUCAUUCCCGAUUGGAAGGUCCAAUUGCCUGGGAUGUUCUUUACAAUUUCGAGCAGAGAUGGAGAAAGCAGGGUGGCAAAGAUCUUCUCGUGCAGCUCAGGGAUCUCUCUGACAUAAUUAUCCCCCCUUCUCCUGUCAUGUUCCCAGAGGACAGAGAUACAUGGAAUGUCCAGCUCUUCAGAUCUAUUGAUGGUGGUGCUGCUUUUGGCUUCCCUGAUACUCCUGAGGAAGCUGCAAGGGCUGGGCUUGUAAGUGGAAAGGAUCAAAUCAUUGACAGGAGCAUCCAGGAUGCAUACAUAAAUGCCAUCCGGCGGGCAAAGGACUUCAUCUACAUUGAGAACCAAUACUUCCUUGGAAGUUCCUACUGCUGGAAACCUGAAGGAAUCAAGCCUGAAGAAAUUGGUGCUCUGCAUGUGAUUCCUAAGGAGCUUUCGUUGAAGAUUGUCAGUAAGAUUGAAGCCGGAGAACGGUUUACUGUUUAUGUUGUGGUGCCAAUGUGGCCUGAGGGCAUGCCAGAGAGUGCAUCUGUACAAGCAAUUCUGGACUGGCAAAGGAGAACAAUGGAGAUGAUGUACACUGACAUCACACAAGCUCUCGAGGCAAAGGGAAUUGAAGCAAACCCCAAGGAAUACCUCACUUUCUUCUGCCUAGGUAACCGUGAGGUGAAGCAGGAUGGGGAAUAUGAACCCCAGGAGCAGCCAGAACCUGAUACUGAUUACGUCCGCGCUCAAGAGGCUAGGAGGUUCAUGAUCUACGUUCAUACCAAAAUGAUGAUAGUUGAUGACGAGUACAUCAUCAUUGGUUCUGCAAACAUCAACCAAAGGUCAAUGGACGGCGCCCGGGACUCCGAGAUUGCCAUGGGCGCUUACCAGCCAUACCAUCUAGCCAACAGGGAGCCGGCCCGGGGCCAGAUCCACGGCUUCCGGAUGGCGCUGUGGUACGAGCACCUGGGCAUGCUGGACGACGUGUUCCAGCGCCCGGAGAGCGUCGAUUGCGUGCAGAAGGUGAACAGGAUCGCCGAUAAGUACUGGGACAUGUACUCGAGCGACGACCUGGAGCAGGACCUCCCCGGCCACCUGCUGAGCUACCCCAUCGGCGUCGCCAGCGACGGCGUGGUGACGGAGCUGCCGGGCAUGGAGUUCUUCCCCGACACCCGGGCCCGCAUCCUCGGCACCAAGUCGGACUACCUUCCCCCCAUCCUCACCACAUAG